UGGGGAAUUUUGGACAAUGGGCGAAAGCCUGAUCCAGCAAUGCCGCGUGUGUGAAGAAGGCCUUCGGGUUGUAAAGCACUUUUGUCCGGAAAGAAAUCCUUGGCUCUAAUACAGUCGGGGGAUGACGGUACCGGAAGAAUAAGCACCGGCUAACUACGUGCCAGCAGCCGCGGUAAUACGUAGGGUGCAAGCGUUAAUCGGAAUUACUGGGCGUAAAGCGUGCGCAGGCGGUUUGCUAAGACCGAUGUGAAAUCCCCGGGCUCAACCUGGGAACUGCAUUGGUGACUGGCAGGCUAGAGUAUGGCAGAGGGGGGUAGAAUUCCACGUGUAGCAGUGAAAUGCGUAGAGAUGUGGAGGAAUACCGAUGGCGAAGGCACGCCCUGGGCCAAUACUGACGCUCAUGCACGAAAGCGUGGGGAGCAAACAGGAUUAGAUACCCUGGUAGUCCACGCCCUAAACGAUGUCAACUAGUUGUUGGGGAUUCAUUUCCUUAGUAACGUAGCUAACGCGUGAAGUUGACCGCCUGGGGAGUACGGUCGCAAGAUUAAAACUCAAAUGAAUUGACGGGGUCAUAGCUGUUUCCU
Molecule: ribosomal RNA, 584 nt
Filed under: uncultured bacterium
Lineage: Bacteria
Description: partial 16S ribosomal RNA
Rfam family: Bacterial small subunit ribosomal RNA
Source: RNAcentral